GGUGGACACUGGCGCACGGGUGAGUAACGCGUGGGAACCUACCCUGGGGUGGGGGACAACCACUGGAAACGGUGGCUAAUACCGCAUACGCCCUCCGGGGGAAAACUUUUGUGCCCUGGGAUGGUCCCGCGUCGGAUUAGCUAGUUGGUGGGGUAACGGCCUACCAAGGCGACGAUCCGUAACUGGUCUGAGAGGAUGAUCAGUCACACUGGAACUGAGACACGGUCCAGACUCCUACGGGAGGCAGCAGUAGGGAAUAUUGC
RNAcentral lists this ribosomal RNA (263 nucleotides) under Isochrysis galbana. Its description in RNAcentral is "partial Bacterial small subunit ribosomal RNA". It matches the Rfam family "Bacterial small subunit ribosomal RNA", at positions 87 to 367 of the family's 1533-position model. The record is from RNAcentral. Lineage: Eukaryota; Haptophyta; Isochrysidales; Isochrysidaceae.